Molecule: ribosomal RNA, 326 nt
Filed under: uncultured bacterium
Lineage: Bacteria
Description: bacterial SSU rRNA
Rfam family: Bacterial small subunit ribosomal RNA
Source: RNAcentral
GACGAGAAAUUGCUGCUAAUACCGGAUGAUGACGUAAGUCCAAAGAUUUAUCGCCCAAGGAUGAGCCCGCGUAGGAUUAGCUAGGUUGGUGAGGUAAAAGGGCUCACCAAGGCGACGAUCCUUAGCUGGUCUGAGAGGAUGAUCAGCCACACUGGGACUGAGACACGGCCCAGACUCCUACGGGAGGCAGCAGUGGGGAAUAUUGGACAAUGGGCGAAAGCCUGAUCCAGCAAUGCCGCGUGAGUGAUGAAGGCCUUAGGUUGUAAAGCUCUUUACCCGGGAUGAUAAUGACAGUACCGGGAGAAUAAGCUCCGGCUAACUCCGUG